Molecule: ribosomal RNA, 253 nt
Filed under: uncultured bacterium
Lineage: Bacteria
Description: partial 16S ribosomal RNA
Rfam family: Bacterial small subunit ribosomal RNA
Source: RNAcentral
UACGUAGGGGGCAAGCGUUGUCCGGAUUUAUUGGGCGUAAAGAGCGUGUAGGCGGUUCGGUAGGUCCGUUGUGAAAACUCGAGGCUCAACCUCGAGACGCCGAUGGAAACCAUCGAACUAGAGUGCGGUAGGGGAGACUGGAAUUCCUGGUGUAGCGGUGAAAUGCGCAGAUAUCAGGAGGAACACCGGUGGCGAAGGCGGGUCUCUGGGCCGUAACUGACGCUGAGGAGCGAAAGCGUGGGGAGCGAACAGG